UUCUCAUAUGUAUUAUAAAAAAUAUGAUUAUUUUAGUAAUUUUUAUUCUUAUAGUAGUUUAACAAUAAGAAUUACUUCAAGACUUUUUUUAAAACUUACAACACUUUUAAAAUAAAUUGUACCAAACGACCAACCCAGUUAGCUUCCUUUAGCUAGUGGAGGCCUCUUGUAGGGGUUCAAUUAGCUAAGGGUUAGCUCUAUCUCCUCGGGAGACUAGUGCUGAUGCAACUAAAGGGCAAUCCGCAGUGGUGGGAGAGGUGAAGGGGCAUCAAUCGUAAUGGUGAUCCCAUCCGAUGAAGUAGCUAUGCAAGCACUACGGCCUAAACACGAGCUUGCGGUGAAAGGUUGAACCUGAGAUUCGUCUCCAAUGAUGAAAAACUUAGCUCCACUCCCUUUGAUGAACAUUGUUAAUGGACAUGCUGCAAGAGCGUAGGUAAGCUUAUGAGGCGUGACCGAAGGGCAGCGACAGCUUUUCACAGAUGAUUAUUUCUACAGUAUAACUAACAACAAUUAUUUUAAAAGUUAUAACAUUAUCAAAUUGACUCUAAAUUUUUUAUAAGAAAAACAAAUACAUUUAAAAAAAUUGAAGAA
Molecule: long non-coding RNA, 591 nt
Filed under: Citrus x clementina
Lineage: Eukaryota; Viridiplantae; Streptophyta; Magnoliopsida; Sapindales; Rutaceae
Description: Citrus clementina (C. clementina) long non-coding RNA (CCLE_LNC001981)
Source: RNAcentral